AUUGAACGCUGGCGGCAGGCUUAACACAUGCAAGUCGAGCGAGCGGCGGACGGGUGAGUAAUGUCUGGGAAACUGCCUGCUCGAGGGGGUUAACUACUGGAAACGGUCGCUAAUACCUCAUACCAUCGGAUGUGCCCAGAUGGGAUUGGCUAGUAGGUGUGGUAAUGGCUCACCUAGGCGACGAUCCCUAGCUGGUCUGCGAGGAUGACCAGCAACACUGGAACUGUGACACGGUCCAGACGCCUAAGGGAGGCAGCGGUGGGGAAUAUUGGACAAUGGGCGCAAGCCGGAUGCGGCCAUGCCGGGGGUGUGAAGAAGGCCUGCGGGUUGUAAAGCACUUUCAGCGAGGAGGCGUUACUCGCAGAAGAAGCACCGGCUAACUCCGUGCCAGCAGCCGCGGUAAUAC
Molecule: ribosomal RNA, 406 nt
Filed under: uncultured bacterium
Lineage: Bacteria
Description: partial 16S ribosomal RNA
Rfam family: Bacterial small subunit ribosomal RNA
Source: RNAcentral